This 22-nucleotide microRNA is filed under the name Xenopus laevis (African clawed frog). RNAcentral describes it as "xla-miR-106-3p". Its record names the gene xla-miR-106-3p. The record is from miRBase by way of RNAcentral. Lineage: Eukaryota; Metazoa; Chordata; Amphibia; Anura; Pipidae.
ACUGCACAGUAAGCACUUCCUG